This is a non-coding RNA of Schistosoma curassoni, 44 nucleotides long. The record is from Rfam. Lineage: Eukaryota; Metazoa; Platyhelminthes; Trematoda; Strigeidida; Schistosomatidae.
AUCCAGCUGAAAGUCCCAAAUAGGACGAAACACGCAUUCUGGAU